GGUUAAAAAUUAAAAUAUUUCUAGAAGUUCUUAGUUUCUUGUAGAGGUGGAAUUCGAAUAAGAAAAUUUAGAUUGCUAACUUCUUUGAUUUGAGGCCUUGAAAAUUUAGUUUAAGACCGGGAUUAGAUACCCCGUUAUUUAUUUUGUAAACUUUGAUAUUUGUAAUUUACUUGAGUAUUACGAGUAACUAAUUAAUGAGUAAGUUAAUUGGUGUGGACUUAAAACUCAAAAAACUUGGCGGUGCCUUAAUUCUUUUCAGGGGAACUUGUCCCGUAAUCGAUGGUCCUCGAUUUAGCUUACUUUUCUUUGUAUUUUAUUUUAGUUUUAAAAACAGUUUGUAUACCGUCGUCGUCAGAUUACCUUUGAGAGAAAUAAAAGUUGUCGGAAAAAAUAAGUAUAACUGAUUUUAGAUUAAAAGCGGAUGUUUAAUGGUCUACUAAAAUUUAUAUAUGUUUUUAAUGUCAGAUCAAGGUGCAGCUUAUAGAAAAGUGGAGAUGAGUUACAAUAAAUAUUUAUUAAACGGAUUUUAAAUUGUAAAAUUUAAUUAAAGGCGGACUUGAGAGUAAUAUUAGUAAAUAGAAUAAAGAAUUUAAUUAGUAUGUAAAUGUGAAUAUGGUACUAAGGUGCGU
Molecule: ribosomal RNA, 629 nt
Filed under: Diloma nigerrima
Lineage: Eukaryota; Metazoa; Mollusca; Gastropoda; Trochida; Trochidae
Description: partial 12S ribosomal RNA
Source: RNAcentral